Molecule: long non-coding RNA, 1176 nt
Filed under: Taeniopygia guttata (zebra finch)
Lineage: Eukaryota; Metazoa; Chordata; Aves; Passeriformes; Estrildidae
Description: lncRNA (ENSTGUG00000024003.1)
Source: RNAcentral
AAGAGGCUGAGGAGGAAGAGGAGGAGGAAAGUGCCGAAGGUCCAAAGGUCGGAAUUUUCCGGGUCCCGUUCGGGCUCCAGCGGCAGCGGCAGCGCCACGAAAGUCGGGGGAAAAUCUGGGGGAAAAAAGGGGGAAAUUGGGAAAAAAGGGGAAAAAAAAUACUCGGGAAAAAUCCGCGUUUUAACCGGAAAAAAUCCAAAUUUUACAGCAAAAAAUUCGCGUUUUUCAGCAAAAAAUUCACAUUUUACACCCAAAAAAUCGAUAUUUUACCCACAAAAAAAUCUACAUUUUCCUCCCAAAAAUCCACAUUUUCCACCCCGAAAAAUCCACAUUUUCUACCCAGAAAAAUCCACAUUUUUUCACCCCAAAAAAUCCACAUUUUCCUCCCAGAAAUCCACAUUUUCAUCCAAAAAAAUCCACAUUAUCCUUCCAAAAAUUCUCAUUUUCCACCCAGAAAAAUCCACGUUUUCCAGCAAAAAAUCCAAAUUUUCCAGCAAAAAAUCCGCAUUUUCCACUCAAAAAAUUCGCAUUUUCCUCCCAAAAAAAUCCCCAUUUUCCACCCAAAAAUCCGCAUUUUCCAGCAGAAAAUUCACGUUUUCCAGCAUAAAAUUCACAUUUUCCACCCAAAAAUCGGCAUUUCCCACCCAAAAAUUCGCAUUUUCCUCCCAAAAGUUUGCAUUUUCCAGCAAAAAAUCCGCAUUUUCCUCCCAAAAAUUUACAUUUUACCCACAAAAAAUCCAAAUUUUCCAGCAAAAAAUCCACAUUUUACACCCAAAAAAUCGAUAUUUUCCUCCCAAAAAAAUCUGCAUUUUCUGCCCAAAACUUUGCAUUUUCCACCCAAAAUUCCACAUUUUCCACCAAAAAUCCGCAUUUUCCACCCAAAAAAUCCACAUUUUCCUCCCAAAAAUUUGCAUUUUACCCACAAAAAAAUCCACAUUUUCCACCCAAAAAUUCGCAUUUUCUGCCCAAAAAAAUCCACAUUUUCCACCCAAAAAAUCCGCAUUUUCCAGCAUAAAAUUCACGUUUACCAGCAUAAAAUUCACAUUUUCCACCCAAAAAUUCGCAUUUUCCACUGAAAAAUUCGCAUUUUCCACCCCAAAAAAUCCGCAUUUUCCACCCAAAAAAAAAUCCACAUUUUCCUCCCAAAAAUCCACAUUUUACUUCAUAAAAAUCUGA